Long non-coding RNA from Triticum aestivum (bread wheat), 1624 nucleotides. RefSeq lists it as uncharacterized. The transcript is spliced from 2 exons. NCBI's taxonomy places the organism in Eukaryota, Viridiplantae, Streptophyta, Magnoliopsida, Poales, Poaceae. The record is from RefSeq and is a predicted model, not a curated record.
CUUCAUCCCCACCGAGCCUUAUCCUCUUCCCAGGAUCCAGCCAGGACUUAUCUUCUUCCUCUCGCCUUUCCUCUUGAUCCGGGACGAAGCAGAGCCACACCACCGAAGGCCUCCUCCCCCGCCCUCCAACCCACGUCAGGGACUGCAAGCCCGCCGCCCCAAGCCCGCUGCAAUCCAACACAGUCGCCACCAGCUGCUACAAGCAAUUUUUUUGCCGCGGUGCCGCCGCUCGCAGCGGCGAUCGGGGAUGACGAACGACGUUGCUACGUCGGGGGAGAAGCAUGCUUUUGCAAGGGGCGCACUGCAACAUGGGGCCAGCUGCGAGGGUUGGGGGUCGCCGUUCGCAGCUGCUGCCAUGGAGCAUCUGGAAGCACCGUCGAGAGUCAUCGGCGCUGCGAGGCAACACUCGCCGGAGCCAGCCGGUGGCGAUGCAGCAUUCAAGCCACCGCAAAAUUGGAGGGGGCGCGACGCGCAGGGCAUAGGUGCUGUGGUGCAACCUCGUCGACACGCUGACGCUGAGAUGCAGCCUCAUCGGCGCUGCUGGUGCUGCAAGUCGCCGGCGGUGAAGCUGCAAUGGAGAGCUCGCCGGCAGCAACCCCGUGCUCCGAUGCAGCACUCACUUGGGGCGGCUCCCCGUGCAGCAGCGUAGCGCUUGCCGGCGGCUCUCGAAGCUCGGUGCUUCAAUGGAGCUUUCACGCGGCGGGUACUGUGCUCCGAUGCAACGCUCGUCGCCGGUGCUACAACGCAUCACCAAGGAGGAGACAAGAGGCGGCGGCACUCACUGUGUUGUUGCAACGCAGCACGCAAGGGGCGGCAGGCGGCUACUCGUGCUCCGUUGCAACACUCGCCGACGGCUUGGGAUUUUGCAUGGCAGCACUCGCUGGCGACUCCCGAUGUUGAGAGAUCGAAGGAGGGAGAGGGGCCUGUUUGUGCGGUGGGAGGAGAAGACUGCGUGUGUUGACUAUUCAACCACUGAGAGAUCGCAUCGCGGGAAUGGAAUCCGAACAAAUCGACAAACUUAAAAUCCGCCGGGUGCAAGGUCGUCUGCGAUCUCAUCGAGGGCCACGCGGAAGGUCGACUCCUGUGAUCUCGUCAAGGGCCACGCGAAGCGACUGCUGUCGUUCGGCCACACCAACCAUGGCGCCGGCGGGGAAUCUAUACUGCUCCCCUCAAUUGAACUGAUGCACCGUCUUGGCUUUGGUCAGAAGUGGCGCAACAUUUUAUCUCUGCUCUGGAGCUCCUCUUCCUCUCGGGUGAUGGUUAAUGGUGAACUGGGGCAGAGCUUCCUUCACCGUCGCGGACGCUCCGGCAGGGAGACCCACUGUCGCCCAUGUUAUUCACCAUCGCCAUCGCCCCACUUCACUGGAUGUUUCGAGAAGGCCUGCUCAGCUCAAUGGGUGCUCUUUCCACUUUGCAGCUCCCUCCCUCCCAGCUCAGGGUUAGUCUGUAUGCCGAUGAUACGGCUCUUUUCGUCUCGCCUUUACGUCAGAUAUUGAGGUGACCAAGGAGAUUCUGAACUGUUUUGGGAAGGCAUCUGGCCUCAUGGCUAAUCUGGUAAAGAGUGGCGUUAAUCCUAUUGCUUGUGACCAGGUUGAUCUGGAUGCUCUUCUUCCGAAUUUUUCAA